AAUCUUCCGCAAUGGACGCAAGUCUGACGGAGCAACGCCGCGUGAGUGAUGAAGGUUUUCGGAUUGUAAACCUCUGUUGUCGGGGAAGAUAAUGACGGUACCCGAUGAGGAAGCAACGGCUAACUACGUGCUAGCAGCCGCGGUAAUACGUAGGUGGCAAGCGUUGUCCGGAAUUACUGGGUGUAAAGGGAGCGUAGGCGGGAAGGCAAGUUGAAUGUUAAAUCUAUCGGCUCAACCGAUAGCCGAGUUCAAAACUGUCUUUCUUGAGUGAAGUAGAGGCAAGCAGAAUUCCCAGUGUAGCGGUGAAAUGCGUAGAGAUUAGGAGGAAUACCAGUGGCGAAGGCGGCUUGCUGGGCUUUUACUGACGCUGAGGCUCGAAAGUGUGGGGAGCAAACA
RNAcentral lists this ribosomal RNA (396 nucleotides) under uncultured bacterium. Its description in RNAcentral is "partial 16S ribosomal RNA". It matches the Rfam family "Bacterial small subunit ribosomal RNA", at positions 360 to 774 of the family's 1533-position model. The record is from RNAcentral.